UUGUGCUUGUGCAUACUGCAUACUAUCAUCAUCAGCAACGUAACUCUUAAUUACACGUGUUUUGUAGCUGGACCAAAAGACCAUCUGAUCAACGGACCAGGAAUAUUGGAUCCGGCUAAUUUAUAAGAGGAACAAAACACACAAAAAAAUAUAAAAAAAAUGUGCGAUUAAUAUGUGAUAUACGUAUUCACGUGACAAUCAACAGAGUUAAUAAUAAUAAUAAUCUCGAUAACGUACGUACGUGACGCUCCCCUAAUAAUACUGUAUUUUUUAAAAAAGAAGGUAUAUGAUGAUGUUGUCAGUGAAAAAGUAAUGUCAAUGAUCUCGGCCUAGAAGUAGCUAGCGUCUAAGAGAACCACGACGAGCCUGCACGGACCGAUCACGAGUCUCUCGACCGUGAAUAAGCCACGACUCCAAGCCUCUUUAUUAACCAACGUGGCGCUUCA
RNAcentral lists this long non-coding RNA (446 nucleotides) under Capsella rubella. RNAcentral describes it as "long non-coding RNA (CRUB_LNC003475)". Lineage: Eukaryota; Viridiplantae; Streptophyta; Magnoliopsida; Brassicales; Brassicaceae. The record is from RNAcentral.